This 462-nucleotide ribosomal RNA is filed under the name uncultured bacterium. RNAcentral describes it as "partial 16S ribosomal RNA". It matches the Rfam family "Bacterial small subunit ribosomal RNA", at positions 28 to 507 of the family's 1533-position model. The record is from RNAcentral.
GACGAACGCUGGCGGCGUGCUUAACACAUGCAAGUCGAACGGAAAGGCCCUUCGGGGUACUCGAGUGGCGAACGGGUGAGUAACACGUGGGUGAUCUGCCCUGCACUUUGGGAUAAGCCUGGGAAACUGGGUCUAAUACCGGAUAGGACCACGGCAUUCAUGUGCUGUGGUGGAAAGCUUUUGCGGUGUGGGAUGGGCCCGCGGCCUAUCAGCUUGUUGGUGGGGUAAUGGCCUACCAAGGCGACGACGGGUAGCCGGCCUGAGAGGGUGACCGGCCACACUGGGACUGAGAUACGGCCCAGACUCCUACGGGAGGCAGCAGUGGGGAAUAUUGCACAAUGGGCGCAAGCCUGAUGCAGCGACGCCGCGUGAGGGAUGACGGCCUUCGGGUUGUAAACCUCUUUCGCCAGGGACGAAGCGAAAGUGACGGUACCUGGAGAAGAAGGACCGGCCAACUACGUG